UGUCCAGAAUCUCCACAGAACAUCUAUGCAGGUGCUUGUAUUGAAGCCUAUAGACUUCAGUCGAACUCUACAGAAAGCGCGUGUCUUUCCCUAGGACAACAUGGUAGUGUUGGCGUUGUGUGCCCGAGCUCAAAGGAGACUGAUCUUAAUCCCUUACAACAGCGUUCCCUGUGAUUUCCGUGUGCUCUUGAUGCAGCCUCGUCUUCCUUGUGCUCGGAGGCUUCACUGACUUCAGUCAAUCAAUAUUGACAUAUUAUAGAACCUCAGACCUGGAACAUUAUCUUCUGAUCUGGUAAUUUUCAUUUGAUGAGGAAAGGCAUUAAGCCCUGGCAGUCUAUGCAUUUUCCUGAACAGGGGUUGAUUUUAUGUGCACACAAAGUGGAUGCUGAGCCCUUUAACACUCACUUCUCAAUGGUCUCCAAUUUUGUUUGUAAUGUGCUCAGCUGAAAACACUCAACCACCAGACUGACACAAUUGAGGCUGGCCACGUGACUAAUUAUGGUCAAUGUCAUUUAAGCAGAGAUUGCUGUUCUAAAAGGACUCAACUAGAAUGGGCCUUUUCAGUCCUCUAACCCUCAUCUUUCUCCUUUUCUUCCUUCAAAGGGGCAGGUAAAGACUGUACGUGUCAUAGUCAUCCAUCUUGUAACCAUGGCUGAAAACCACCAGCUAAGAAUGGCAGGACAGGAGGUUAGGAGAGGCCUAGACCUUGAGGAAAUUCUUGUGGACUGCACCCGCUCAGGUUUGCAUAAGCCCUUUAUCUAGGUUUGAUUGACGGAAAUUAAAUUGUUAUUAAGUGCUGCCAAACACAGUUCUAUUUAUUGCAUAUGGUUAGUGGAAAAAUCAAGAUCUUAAGCCCAGAUCUAUUCUACCCAAUGACCUUUUAAGUAUUAGUAUAUACUGACUAUGUGCUUAAAAGUAUAAACUUUUGGGGUGCCUUGGCGGCUCAGUCGUUUAGCUGCCCGGCUGCAGC
Molecule: long non-coding RNA, 970 nt
Organism: Suricata suricatta (meerkat)
Lineage: Eukaryota; Metazoa; Chordata; Mammalia; Carnivora; Herpestidae
Exons: 4
Source: RefSeq, a predicted model, not a curated record